UCUUCUCAUCGCUCGCUCUUUCUCUCUGUCUUCUUCUUCUACUUGCCUUGCCUCUCCUUAACUCCACACCACAAAGCUCUCUCUCAGGAAACCAUGGAAAUUAGGGUUUAGAUUUGAUCAGCUUCUGUUAGUCUAACUUAAUCUCCAUUCAUGGCGUCUUCUUCUUUAUCUCUGCCAGACCUUACCUUCCUCUCCCCACAAACCACACUCAAACACCGUUUGUCUCUCUCUAGACAUUCUCUUUCUAGACUUUUUCUUUCUACCAACCAAAUUAAGAGCAGUCUUCCCAUCCGGAUUCGAGUUCGGGCUAUUAGAGAAGAGAGUUUGGUAAUUGAAGAGAGGGAGAGUGAAUUGCUAAAAGAAGUGAAUGGAACUAAUGGCGCUGCUUCAACUAGUAGUAAUGGUGAUGAUUAUGGUUUUAAUGGAUCGAAUGGUAGUUAUACGAAUGGUGGCGUGAGUGUAAUGGAAAGUGAGAAGAAAGAAGUGACCAAUGGAAGUUUGGUAAAGUACGUGAAUGGGAACGGUGUUGCUGCGACCGAAAUGGUGGUGGAGGAUGAGGUAGAGUUAAAGGAGGAUGGGCGGAAGAAGAGGAUAGAAGAGAUUGGAAAAGAAGAUGCAUGGUUUAAAAGUGCAGGGAAACAAGUUGAGGUUUCUGUUGCACCUGGGGGCCGCUGGAGUAGAUUUAAAACCUAUUCAACAAUUCAGAGAACUUUGGAAAUAUGGGGAUUUGUCUUUAAAUUCAUAUUCAGAGCUUGGUUGAACAACCAGAAAUUCUCUUAUAGAGGAGGAAUGACAGAGGAGAAAAAAGUUCUAAAGCGAAAAGCCCUUGCCAAGUGGUUAAAGGAAAAUAUAUUAAGACUGGGUCCUACAUUCAUCAAGAUUGGGCAGCAGUUUUCUACUAGAGUGGACAUUCUUGCUCAGGAGUAUGUUGAUCAAUUGUCUGAGCUCCAGGAUCAAGUUCCUCCUUUUCCAUCAGAGACUGCUGCAUCUAUAGUUGAAGAAGAGCUUGGAGCCCCCCUGGAUGAUGUCUUUGAUCGGUUUGACUAUGAACCAAUUGCUGCUGCAAGUCUUGGUCAGGUUCACCGUGCAAGAUUGAAGGGACAGGAAGUUGUAAUCAAAGUUCAAAGACCUGGUCUCAAGGACCUUUUUGAUAUUGAUCUUAAAAACCUCAGGGUAAUUGCAGAAUACCUUCAAAAGAUUGACCCCAAGUCAGAUGGUGCAAAGAGGGAUUGGGUUGCAAUUUAUGAUGAAUGUGCAACUGUCUUGUAUCAGGAGAUUGAUUACACCAAGGAAGCUGCUAACGCAGAAUUGUUUGCAAGCAAUUUCAAAGAUAUGGAUUAUGUCAAAGUCCCAAAAAUUUUCUGGGAAUACACAACGCCACAGGUUUUGACAAUGGAGUAUGUCCCGGGGAUCAAAAUAAACAAAAUACAAGCUUUAGAUCAAUUGGGUGUUGACCGUAAAAGGUUGGGUCGGUAUGCUGUUGAAUCUUACUUGGAACAAAUUCUAUCUCAUGGCUUUUUCCACGCUGAUCCACAUCCAGGAAAUAUUGCUGUUGAUGAUAUCAACGGUGGGAGGUUGAUAUUUUAUGAUUUUGGAAUGAUGGGAAGUAUCAGUCCAAACAUCAGGGAAGGGUUGUUGGAAGCAUUUUAUGGAAUUUACGAGAAGGAUCCUGAUAAGGUACUCCAGGCAAUGAUCCAAAUGGGUGUCCUUGUGCCUACUGGGGACAUGACAGCUGUCAGACGAACUGCAAAAUUCUUCAUUAACAGUUUCGAGGAACGUCUGGCUGCACAAAGAAAAGAGAGAGAAAUGGGGAUAACAGAACUUGGAUUUAAGAAGCCAUUGACCAAGGAGGAAAAGAUGGAGAAAAAGAAGCAACGCCUGGCUGCAAUUGGAGAAGAUUUAUUAGCCAUUGCAGCAGAUCAACCGUUCAGAUUUCCUGCCACAUUCACAUUUGUUGUUAGAGCAUUUUCAGUAUUGGAUGGCAUUGGGAAGGGCCUUGAUCCACGUUUUGAUAUUACAGAGAUUGCCAAACCCUAUGCACUUGAGUUGCUAAGAUUUCGUGAAGCUGGUGUUGAAGUUCUCUUGAAGGACUUCAGAAAUAGAUGGGACAGGCAGUCUCGUGCAUUCUACAACUUAUUUAGACAGGCUGACAGAAUUCAAAAGCUUGCUGAAACUAUCCAACGAUUGGAGCAAGGUGAUUUAAAGCUUCGAGUUAGAACUCUGGAGUCUGAAAGGGCCUUCCAGCGUGUUGCUGCUGUUCAAAAGACAGUAGGGAGUGCAGUAGCGGCUGGAAGUCUAGUAAACCUUGCAACAAUUUUGUAUCUCAAUUCCAUUCGAGUACCAGCUAUUGCAGCAUAUAUCUUUUGUGCAUUCUUUAGCUUCCAAGUUCUCUUUGGCAUUAUAAAGGUCAAAAAAUUAGAUCAGCAGGAAAGGUUGAUAACAGGAACAGCAUAAAAACUGGUCUCAUACUGGCAGGGUAGUGUCUCCACUUAACCUUUGUUUAGUCUGAUGCAGAUCCUCUUGUUGUUACAAAUUCAGAGUAGAGUGCGAAGCUCACCAAGGGAAAGCUCUGAGCAUUGAAAGACAGAGGUUGAUGAACGUUUUUGUUUAGAUAUCAGCUUCUAGAUUUGUGGUGAAGAAUGAUUGACUGGGCAGUGGUCUUACAUGGAAAGCUUACUGGAAAUUCUGGUGGCCAUUCAGAAUUGCCAUUUAUCUCCACCUCAAGAAUAUGUUGAGGUUUUUGGGCGGCUAUUUUGCCAUAAUUAACAGUUUCAAUGACAAAUAUUGGCAUGUAUAGGUUCCACGGAAAGACGUGUCCAUAAACUCUUAUGUAUAAUAAUAACUUUACAAUGUAAUAUUUAUUAACGAAAUCUACCGAGCUACCCAUUCAUAUGCUGUAAUUGAAAUGUCAUUGUUUUACAUA
Molecule: RNA transcript, 2923 nt
Organism: Jatropha curcas
Lineage: Eukaryota; Viridiplantae; Streptophyta; Magnoliopsida; Malpighiales; Euphorbiaceae
Gene: ATH13
Gene name: ABC2 homolog 13
Source: RefSeq, a predicted model, not a curated record